Molecule: ribosomal RNA, 464 nt
Filed under: uncultured bacterium
Lineage: Bacteria
Description: partial 16S ribosomal RNA
Rfam family: Bacterial small subunit ribosomal RNA
Source: RNAcentral
ACGAACGCUGGCGGCGUGCUUAACACAUGCCAGUCGAACGGAAAGGCCCCUUUGGGGGUACUCGAGUGGCGAACGGGUGAGUAACACGUGAGUAACCUGCCCUUGACUUCGGGAUAACUUCAGGAAACUGGGGCUAAUACCGGAUAGGAAUCCUUGCUGCAUGGUGGGGGUUGGAAAGCUUCGGCGGUUUUGGAUGGACUCGCGGCUUAUCAGCUUGUUGGUGGGGUAGUGGCUUACCAAGGCUUUGACGGGUAGCCGGCCUGAGAGGGCGACCGGCCACAUUGGGACUGAGAUACGGCCCAGACUCCUACGGGAGGCAGCAGAGGGGAAUAUUGCACAAUGGGCGGAAGCCUGAUGCAGCAACGCCGCGUGCGGGAUGACGGCCUUCGGGUUGUAAACCGCUUUCAGCAGGGGCGAAGCUUGUGGUGACGGUACCUGCAGAAGAAGCACCGGCUAACUACGUG